Molecule: long non-coding RNA, 537 nt
Organism: Gasterosteus aculeatus (three-spined stickleback)
Lineage: Eukaryota; Metazoa; Chordata; Actinopteri; Perciformes; Gasterosteidae
Source: Ensembl
AUGCAGAAAGCUUUGUCUCUGCGGCAUCCGGGCCUGAUGCAGCUCGGCAAAGGCCUCCUGGGAGAUUCGCCUCCCGAGUUGGGACACGAGGCGGUGCCCCAGCCCUCUACCCACAAUGCCACAGCAGUGGUAUCUGCGGCAGGUGUGGUGCCGUACCUCCACGGUCGAGGUGGAGCCGGAGAACCAAACAGCACCCACUCUCUCUCCACAAACCAUUCGGCCUCCUCCUCUGCCUCCUGUGACAGGCAGCCGGCUCCUCCAGGCACCUUAAUGAGCUCCCAUCCGCAGGGACAGGGCUACUCCCUGGGUAUCAGUAAUUCAGGCCUCGGGCCGCCUCCACCUAAACCCCCCGGAGGAAUUUAUACGUCACUGGGCCAUCAUAACAGCAGCGAUGGAUGCCCCCUGGCUAGCAUGGUAAGCGGCGGUCAGGGCUCCCUUCUGGGCGACCCUCCUAAAGAAGUCAGACUGCCCUCCAAUCCUUAUCUGAACCUGGCCAGUGUGAUGCCGGGGGUGGUGCUGCAAGGUGAGCAUCUUUGA